CACGAUUCUGGAGUCGAUGUAACGAAAUACCUUUCAGGAAGCUGAAGAAAAGCCAAAGCUGAGACUCGAUGAGUUUUAAAGUUAUGAGAAACCAUAAGAAGGAACUACACAAGUUUCUUGUUAUUGUUUCUCGUAAAUGUGAACAGUAGGAGACUAAACCAACCAAUUUUGGAUAGAGAAAAUAUUGGAUCAGUACAACGUCCAUCUAGUACGCCAAGGGUUAUAUAGGUGAAAACAGCGGAAAAAGUUAACGAACAGAUGAAGUAUUUCUGUCGGUGAUGGAAUAACUGAAGCCAAGCUUUUCUUCUCGUUAAAGAAAAGAUCAAUAAGCUGACAGAUAGCACAAGGUGACAUUUCUCUUCUUUUUUACGUAACGUGAAUUUGCGUUGAUAAAAUGUGAUAACACAUU
Octopus sinensis (East Asian common octopus) is the source of this 409-nucleotide long non-coding RNA. RefSeq lists it as uncharacterized. The transcript has 3 exons. NCBI's taxonomy places the organism in Eukaryota, Metazoa, Mollusca, Cephalopoda, Octopoda, Octopodidae. The record is from RefSeq and is a predicted model, not a curated record.